ACGACCGGCGCACGGGUGCGUAACGCGUAUACAAUCUGCCUCAUACUGGGGGAUAGCCUUUGGAAACGAAGAUUAAUACCCCAUAACAUCUUAGUAUUGCAUGAUACAUAGAUUAAAGGUUACGGUAUGAGAUGAGUAUGCGUCCUAUUAGCUAGAUGGUGUGGUAACGGCACACCAUGGCAACGAUAGGUAGGGGCCCUGAGAGGGGGAUCCCCCACA
Molecule: ribosomal RNA, 219 nt
Filed under: Seonamhaeicola marinus
Lineage: Bacteria; Pseudomonadati; Bacteroidota; Flavobacteriia; Flavobacteriales; Flavobacteriaceae
Description: partial 16S ribosomal RNA
Rfam family: Bacterial small subunit ribosomal RNA
Source: RNAcentral